RNAcentral lists this ribosomal RNA (1469 nucleotides) under Neisseria gonorrhoeae. RNAcentral describes it as "bacterial SSU rRNA". It matches the Rfam family "Bacterial small subunit ribosomal RNA". Lineage: Bacteria; Pseudomonadati; Pseudomonadota; Betaproteobacteria; Neisseriales; Neisseriaceae. The record is from RNAcentral.
AUUGAACAUAAGAGUUUGAUCCUGGCUCAGAUUGAACGCUGGCGGCAUGCUUUACACAUGCAAGUCGGACGGCAGCACAGGGAAGCUUGCUUCUCGGGUGGCGAGUGGCGAACGGGUGAGUAACAUAUCGGAACGUACCGGGUAGCGGGGGAUAACUGAUCGAAAGAUCAGCUAAUACCGCAUACGUCUUGAGAGGGAAAGCAGGGGACCUUCGGGCCUUGCGCUAUCCGAGCGGCCGAUAUCUGAUUAGCUGGUUGGCGGGGUAAAGGCCCACCAAGGCGACGAUCAGUAGCGGGUCUGAGAGGAUGAUCCGCCACACUGGGACUGAGACACGGCCCAGACUCCUACGGGAGGCAGCAGUGGGGAAUUUUGGACAAUGGGCGCAAGCCUGAUCCAGCCAUGCCGCGUGUCUGAAGAAGGCCUUCGGGUUGUAAAGGACUUUUGUCAGGGAAGAAAAGGCCGUUGCCAAUAUCGGCUGCAGAUGACGGUACCUGAAGAAUAAGCACCGGCUAACUACGUGCCAGCAGCCGCGGUAAUACGUAGGGUGCGAGCGUUAAUCGGAAUUACUGGGCGUAAAGCGGGCGCAGACGGUUACUUAAGCAGGAUGUGAAAUCCCCGGGCUCAACCCGGGAACUGCGUUCUGAACUGGGUGACUCGAGUGUGUCAGAGGGAGGUGGAAUUCCACGUGUAGCAGUGAAAUGCGUAGAGAUGUGGAGGAAUACCGAUGGCGAAGGCAGCCUCCUGGGAUAACACUGACGUUCAUGUCCGAAAGCGUGGGUAGCAAACAGGAUUAGAAAAUUGACCGCCUGGGGAGUACGGUCGCAAGAUUAAAACUCAAAGGAAUUGACGGGGACCCGCACAAGCGGUGGAUGAUGUGGAUUAAUUCGAUGCAACGCGAAGAACCUUACCUGGUUUUGACAUGUGCGGAAUCCUCCGGAGACGGAGGAGUGCCUUCGGGAGCCGUAACACAGGUGCUGCAUGGCUGUCGUCAGCUCGUGUCGUGAGAUGUUGGGUUAAGUCCCGCAACGAGCGCAACCCUUGUCAUUAGUUGCCAUCAUUCGGUUGGGCACUCUAAUGAGACUGCCGGUGACAAGCCGGAGGAAGGUGGGGAUGACGUCAAGUCCUCAUGGCCCUUAUGACCAGGGCUUCACACGUCAUACAAUGGUCGGUACAGAGGGUAGCCAAGCCGCGAGGCGGAGCCAAUCUCACAAAACCGAUCGUAGUCCGGAUUGCACUCUGCAACUCGAGUGCAUGAAGUCGGAAUCGCUAGUAAUCGCAGGUCAGCAUACUGCGGUGAAUACGUUCCCGGGUCUUGUACACACCGCCCGUCACACCAUGGGAGUGGGGGAUACCAGAAGUAGGUAGGGUAACCGCAAGGAGUCCGCUUACCACGGUAUGCUUCAUGACUGGGGUGAAGUCGUAACAAGGUAGCCGUAGGGGAACCUGCGGCUGGAUCACCUCCUUUCUAG